UUAUCUGAAAGAAGAAAAAGGAACAGUUACAUUUUGCAUGCAAAGAAAACCAGUGUGGCUAGAUUAUUCCCUUGGGGUAAUGAAGAAAGGAAAAAAGAAAAAAAAAAAAAAAAAAAAAAAAAAAAAGGUCAGGUGAAUAAAGCCGAAGGAAUUCUUAGUGAAACUGGACCGAUGCAAGCUACCACACAGACAGGAACCACAGCGCAUCUUUUCCCUUUUGACAAAUGCCGAAAGAUAAGAGAAUCGGCCAUCUUUCAGAGCUUCUCCUUGUAGCGUAUUUGUUGUGAUAUAUCACAUCCGUCUGAGGAAGCAGGCCUAGAACAUGAAGAUAACAGCAAGGCCUUGAUCAUUUUGACCUUGAGCAUUUCCCCAGUCCUGGAGGCCUCAAGUAUUCCUUGCCUCCUCCACCUCCCAAACUCUUGGCUUCUCAGAUAUCCCUUCUACUGUUUCCGGCUGCCUCUGCUCUGAGGGUUCGCAGCCUCAGUUGGAAGUCCACGGUGCACCACCUUGAUGACCUUGCAGUACUUGAACACUUACCCCUUCCUCGCUCCUCACUGUUUCUCCUCUGAAAUGGAAGACGAUCCCCGAGAGUAGUCUGGAUCUUUCUGUUUUUCUAAAGCUGUUUGAAGCAACUUCACAAAUACAGCCCCUGGGGACCGGGUUGAGGGCGAGCAAUCUUUGUUUGAUGUUCGUCAGUUCUCGGAGCUCUGUCAUUGGCUGAGGAAGGCAUCUGACGACAUCAGCAGUCUCACAGUCAGGGAAGGGGUCUCUGUCUUUCUCAAGGCACUUCUGUGAGAAAUUUGGGGCCGAGUUUCAGAGCCUCUGCCGAUUGAUCCCAAUGGUUCGGAAAAGCAUCAAUUCCUCAGGUAGGAAAACUGCCCAAGAGCCGAUUCUGCUCUGAUGUAGCUCAGGAGACGGGGCUGCAAAUUAAAUUCUACUUUUGAAAACCUUCUGAAGCAUUUUAAAAAGGAAAAUUCCUCCAUAAGUGUGCUGACCCGUGAUUUUACUAAAAUACCUGGAGUCUUAAUUAAAUCAAUUUUUCAUCCACUUUCUAAGGUGAUCCUCUAGCGGUAUCAAUGCUUUCCCAACAGCUCUCUAAAUUUUCUGCUAAUAGUAAUGAGAUUAUGUAAAUGAAACCUUUGUUUUUGAAUUCUGACCAUAUCCCUGGUCUCUCGCCACAAUAUUUCUACCUCAUCAUGGCCUUUUACUUUGCAACACUGGAGUUUGUAGUAACCAGUCCUAAGAUGAGGCUCACCAUGUUCUCUUCCUCCAGUCAAGGGCACUUACUCAGUGCUCACGUGGCUCAAACCUGUACAGUGAAGUUGACCCUGUUGGGUCAGGAGGAGGAUAGGGUGUGGCCUGCAGGGCAUCAGAAGUCCUGUGUAUUGCUAGUGUAAGAGGUGAUAGAAACGUGAAAAGGCUGCAGGAAUCCAGAAUUCCAAGAGAGAGGUACUGAAGCAAAGAAGCAUAGGGAACAGCUGAGCUGCCAGGGUCUCCACUUGGCAUGGGCUAUAUAUUCAUUCUUCUUCUAAUAAUGCAUGUACUCUGCAAUAAAUACCUCUCUGAACAAUGUACCUAGCAACCUGUUAGCAACUGGGACUCCCAACUGCAGUGAGCUACACUCCCCCCCCCCCCCCCAAACAGUGUAAUAGCUUUCUCCUUUCCUUAAUGGCCAUCAAGCAGACAGAGUCUCCUCAAAUGUAUCCCAAUACAUUUGGGAACUAUGGACAAUGGGUCAGUCCAAUGUAGCCUGGUUCAGCGUACAUGUACAACAAGACAAACUGUGUCCUCUAGGUGAACUUUUACUCUUAUCAUUUUAUGCAUAAUUGGGCAUGCAUGUGAUUAAAUUUAGAGGAAUCAUGGGAAGGGAUGUGUACAGUUUUUAAAAAAGUUAUAUAAUUUAAUCUGUUACUCAAAAUAAGAAACCACCAGAUAUGCCCCUUAGCAACCAAACUGUUUCUUUGUUUGAACUCUAUAAAAGAAAACCAUGAAUAAUAACCAGGGCUUUUGGGUACUUGAACUCACUCGGCACAGUGUCACUUCUGACCGUAUUGAUUUCUGAGCUGUACUGUUGCCUUGCUUUGAAUAAAGUUUCCCCGCUGUUUUGCAAUA
Long non-coding RNA from Peromyscus leucopus (white-footed mouse), 2112 nucleotides. RefSeq lists it as uncharacterized. Lineage: Eukaryota; Metazoa; Chordata; Mammalia; Rodentia; Cricetidae. The transcript has 3 exons. The record is from RefSeq and is a predicted model, not a curated record.